This 883-nucleotide ribosomal RNA is filed under the name uncultured bacterium. RNAcentral's name for it is "bacterial SSU rRNA". It matches the Rfam family "Bacterial small subunit ribosomal RNA", at positions 9 to 869 of the family's 1533-position model. The record is from RNAcentral.
GAGUUUGAUCCUGGCUCAGGACGAACGCUGGCGGCGUGCCUAAUACAUGCAAGUCGAACGCACGAAGUUGAAGAGCUUGCUCUUUAACCAAGUGAGUGGCGGACGGGUGAGUAACACGUGGGUAACCUGCCCAUUAGAGGGGGAUAACAUUCGGAAACGGAUGCUAAUACCGCAUAGUUUCAGGAAUCGCAUGAUUCUUGAAGGAAAGGUGGCUUCGGCUACCACUAAUGGAUGGACCCGCGGCGUAUUAGCUAGUUGGUGAAGUAAUGGCUCACCAAGGCAAUGAUACGUAGCCGACCUGAGAGGGUGAUCGGCCACACUGGGACUGAGACACGGCCUAGACUCCUACGGGAGGCAGCAGUAGGGAAUCUUCCGCAAUGGACGAAAGUCUGACGGAGCAACGCCGCGUGAGUGAAGAAGGUUUUCGGAUCGUAAAACUCUGUUGUUAAAGAAGAACAAGGAUGAGAGUAACUGCUCAUCCCCUGACGGUAUUUAACCAGAAAGCCACGGCUAACUACGUGCCAGCAGCCGCGGUAAUACGUAGGUGGCAAGCGUUGUCCGGAUUUAUUGGGCGUAAAGCGAGCGCAGGCGGUUCUUUAAGUCUGAUGUGAAAGCCCCCGGCUCAACCGGGGAGGGUCAUUGGAAACUGGAGAACUUGAGUGCAGAAGAGGAGAGUGGAAUUCCACGUGUAGCGGUGAAAUGCGUAGAUAUGUGGAGGAACACCAGUGGCGAAAGCGACUCUCUGGUCUGUAACUGACGCUGAGGCUCGAAAGCGUGGGGUGCAAACAGGAUUAGAUACCCUGGUAGUCCACGCCGUAACGAUGAGUGCUAAGUGUUGGAGGGUUUCCGCCCUUCAGUGCUGCAGCUAACGCAUUAAGCACUC